Molecule: ribosomal RNA, 502 nt
Filed under: uncultured bacterium
Lineage: Bacteria
Description: bacterial SSU rRNA
Rfam family: Bacterial small subunit ribosomal RNA
Source: RNAcentral
UAGUCCACGCCGUAAACGAUGGAUACUAGCUGUCCGGAAUCUUGAAUUCUGGGCGGCCAAGCGAAAGUGAUAAGUAUCCCACCUGGGGAGUACGUUCGCAAGAAUGAAACUCAAAGGAAUUGACGGGGGCCCGCACAAGCGGUGGAGCAUGUGGCUUAAUUCGAGGCAACGCGAAGAACCUUACCUGGGUUUGACAUAUAUUUGACCGCUCCCGAAACGGAGCUUCUCUUCGGAGCAGAUAUACAGGUGCUGCAUGGCUGUCGUCAGCUCGUGCCGUGAGGUGUUCGGUUAAGUCCGGCAACGAGCGCAACCCAUAUCAUUAGUUGCCAACAGGUAAUGCUGGGGACUCUAAUGAGACUGCCCGUGUCAAGCGGGAGGAAGGCGUGGACGACGUCAAGUCAGUAUGGCCCUUACACCCAGGGCUGCACACGUGCUACAAUGGCGACUACAGAAGGCAGCAAUACCGCGAGGUGGAGCAAAUCCGAUAAAAGUCGCCCAGUUC